Molecule: ribosomal RNA, 489 nt
Filed under: uncultured bacterium
Lineage: Bacteria
Description: bacterial SSU rRNA
Rfam family: Bacterial small subunit ribosomal RNA
Source: RNAcentral
CUCAGGAUGAACGCUAGCGGCAGGCUUAAUACAUGCAAGUCGUGGGGCAGCAUGAGUAGCAAUACUUGAUGGCGACCGGCAAACGGGUGAGGAACACGUACACAACCUUCCUUCAAGCGGGGGAUAGCCCAGAGAAAUUUGGAUUAAUACCCCAUAAUAUAUUUGAUAAGGCAUCUUAUUAAUAUUAAAGCUUCGGCACUUGAUGAUGGGUGUGCGGCUGAUUAGAUAGUUGGCGGGGUAACGGCCCACCAAGUCUACGAUCAGUAGCUGAUGUGAGAGCAUGAUCAGCCACACGGGCACUGAGACACGGGCCCGACUCCUACGGGAGGCAGCAGUAAGGAAUAUUGGACAAUGGACGAAAGUCUGAUCCAGCCAUGCCGCGUGAAGGAUUAAGGUCCUCUGGAUUGUAAACUUCUUUUAUAUGGGACGAAAAAGGGCAUUCUUGUUCACUUGACGGUACCAUAUGAAUAAGCACCGGCUAACUCCGUG